RNAcentral lists this transfer RNA (88 nucleotides) under Candidatus Rokuibacteriota bacterium. RNAcentral describes it as "tRNA-Leu". It matches the Rfam family "tRNA". Rfam says of the family: Transfer RNA (tRNA) molecules are approximately 80 nucleotides in length. Their secondary structure includes four short double-helical elements and three loops (D, anti-codon, and T loops). Further hydrogen bonds mediate the characteristic L-shaped molecular structure. tRNAs have two regions of fundamental functional importance: the anti-codon, which is responsible for specific mRNA codon recognition, and the 3' end, to which the tRNAs corresponding amino acid is attached (by aminoacyl-tRNA synthetases). tRNAs cope with the degeneracy of the genetic code in two manners: having more than one tRNA (with a specific anti-codon) for a particular amino acid; and 'wobble' base-pairing, i.e. permitting non-standard base-pairing at the 3rd anti-codon position. Lineage: Bacteria; Candidatus Rokuibacteriota. The record is from RNAcentral.
GCCGAAGUGGCGGAACUAGGCAGACGCGCACGAUUCAAAAUCGUGUACCCGCAAGGGUGUGUGGGUUCGAUUCCCACCUUCGGCACCA